This 1574-nucleotide long non-coding RNA is filed under the name Panax ginseng (ginseng). RNAcentral's name for it is "long non-coding RNA (PGIN_LNC014748)". Lineage: Eukaryota; Viridiplantae; Streptophyta; Magnoliopsida; Apiales; Araliaceae. The record is from RNAcentral.
AUCACAAAUUCACAAUACUAUUUAAAUUUUAAUCAAUCAUCCUCUCUUGCCUCCACUUUCUUCUAGGGAAAGUUCAGAAGAAUGAACAAAAAAUUCAAUCUAAAGUUGUUGUGAAGGAAAUGAGUAACAUAUUACAAUGAUACAAAUGAGACAAACUAAUGAUACAAAUGAGUAAUCUUUGACAUGUCAGUAUGUCACCAUCAACAGAUAUAAACUCCAAAUGCAUACUUACAAUCCCAUCUGCUAGUGAAAAAAUGGCUUGACAUCCUGUGCACAAAGAUUAUAAACCCUUAAAAUUUCAUGAUUAUCUCAUAAACAUCAUUAGCAACAAGAGGGGCCUUUUGCUCUCAUCUCUUGCUGACAUGGUUGUACAUGUCUUUGAUCCUGCAGCAACCAAACAAAUUAAAAAAAAAAGCUAAUUCCUUUAUGAUAAAUUAUAAUUCAAAAAAAUUAAUCUGUUUUAUGAUUGUCUAAUAUACUCACGUCUCUGAAAAUGAUUUUUUUGUGUUCUUGUGCAAAUUUGAAACAACAAUUCUUGUAGCCAACUGUACCAAACAAACAAUUUACCAAAGAAACAAUCAAAACAAAGCCCAAUUAUCAAACUAUAAAAUUAAGCAUAACAUUAUGAUACAUAAUACGGUGGUCUCAUAAUAGACAAAACAAACAAGUAAAACUUGAACCCCCAACUUCAAUUGAUCACUCCAACAUAUAUAAUUAACUGUUCAAUGAUCAAACCCAUAACUAGACCUCUAUAGUAGUCACACAUACAGAUAUAUACAUAUUAACAUAUAUGUCUACAUACAACAAGCCCAGAACCAAAUUCAAUGAAAAAAAACAAAAAUGAUUAAGUUAAUAUAUAGUUUAUAGACAUAAAUGUACAUAUUUGAAAGAACAACUCACACACACGAGCAAAACCCAGAACCAAAAUCAACAAAACCAUAAUAAUCAAGCCAACUUACGAACCGGAUCACAGUGCUCGCUGCUUAGCCCAUAACUCAUCUUCUUCAAACGAGCAGUAAUCUUGUCGAAAUGAACUGCUUCUUGACGCCCAUCUCUCUUAACCACAUACAUCCUAUCGCUCGAAUAAAAGAUCUAUAAAGGUAGUAGUGUCGGUAAAUUGUAGAUCUAGUCUAAUCUGGUUCAUAAACCCUUAAAAUUUCACACCCAAUUACCAAUUAAAAUCCACAAAAAUCGGUCAUACUCAUACCAAUUAAAACCCUUAAAAUCCACAAAGACAUACAGACUAAAGUCAUAGACUCAUACUCAUACAGAUAAUUGAUAAAUUACCAAUUCAAACAAAAAUCGGUCAGCUUAUGCGAUGAUUACAGAAAAAUACCUGAGACAAGGAGAAUAGAGUAGGAAGUACCGAAGUAGGAACUGCCGAACUGUGAAGGCAAGCUUAUGUGUCGUCGCGUCUAGGUGGGGCUGUGAACUGUGAAGGCAAGAAAGACGAGGAGAAUGGAUUUGUCAUUUGUGGAUCGAAGAGUCUAGAGGUGUGAAGUGUGAAGGGCCGAAUCUGUCUCUGUUUUUACUUUUUAUGCCUUAGCGGCUUAGCCAGUUAGCAAAGGUUAAGG